AGAGUUUGAUCAUGGCUCAGAUUGAACGCUGGCGGCAGGCCUAACACAUGCAAGUCGAGCGGUAGCACAGAGAGCUUGCUCUCGGGUGACGAGCGGCGGACGGGUGAGUAAUGUCUGGGAAACUGCCUGAUGGAGGGGGAUAACUACUGGAAACGGUAGCUAAUACCGCAUAACGUCGCAAGACCAAAGUGGGGGACCUUCGGGCCUCAUGCCAUCAGAUGUGCCCAGAUGGGAUUAGCUGGUAGGUGGGGUAACGGCUCACCUAGGCGACGAUCCCUAGCUGGUCUGAGAGGAUGACCAGCCACACUGGAACUGAGACACGGUCCAGACUCCUACGGGAGGCAGCAGUGGGGAAUAUUGCACAAUGGGCGCAAGCCUGAUGCAGCCAUGCCGCGUGUGUGAAGAAGGCCUUCGGGUUGUAAAGCACUUUCAGCGGGGAGGAAGGCGNNNNNNNNNNNNNNNNNNNUCGAUUGACGUUACCCGCAGAAGAAGCACCGGCUAACUCCGUGCCAGCAGCCGCGGUAAUACGGAGGGUGCAAGCGUUAAUCGGAAUUACUGGGCGUAAAGCGCACGCAGGCGGUCUGUCAAGUCGGAUGUGAAAUCCCCGGGCUCAACCUGGGAACUGCAUUCGAAACUGGCAGGCUAGAGUCUUGUAGAGGGGGGUAGAAUUCCAGGUGUAGCGGUGAAAUGCGUAGAGAUCUGGAGGAAUACCGGUGGCGAAGGCGGCCCCCUGGACAAAGACUGACGCUCAGGUGCGAAAGCGUGGGGAGCAAACAGGAUUAGAUACCCUGGUAGUCCACGCUGUAAACGAUGUCGAUUUGGAGGUUGUGCCCUUGAGGCGUGGCUUCCGGAGCUAACGCGUUAAAUCGACCGCCUGGGGAGUACGGCCGCAAGGUUAAAACUCAAAUGAAUUGACGGGGGCCCGCACAAGCGGUGGAGCAUGUGGUUUAAUUCGAUGCAACGCGAAGAACCUUACCUGGUCUUGACAUCCACAGAACUUUCCAGAGAUGGAUUGGUGCCUUCGGGAACUGUGAGACAGGUGCUGCAUGGCUGUCGUCAGCUCGUGUUGUGAAAUGUUGGGUUAAGUCCCGCAACGAGCGCAACCCUUAUCCUUUGUUGCCAGCGGUUAGGCCGGGAACUCAAAGGAGACUGCCAGUGAUAAACUGGAGGAAGGUGGGGAUGACGUCAAGUCAUCAUGGCCCUUACGACCAGGGCUACACACGUGCUACAAUGGCAUAUACAAAGAGAAGCGACCUCGCGAGAGCAAGCGGACCUCAUAAAGUAUGUCGUAGUCCGGAUUGGAGUCUGCAACUCGACUCCAUGAAGUCGGAAUCGCUAGUAAUCGUAGAUCAGAAUGCUACGGUGAAUACGUUCCCGGGCCUUGUACACACCGCCCGUCACACCAUGGGAGUGGGUUGCAAAAGAAGUAGGUAGCUUAACCUUCGGGAGGGCGCUUACCACUUUGUGAUUCAUGACUGGGGUGAAGUCGUAACAAGGUAACCGUAGGGGAACCUGCGGUUGGAUCACCU
RNAcentral lists this ribosomal RNA (1529 nucleotides) under Klebsiella variicola. Its description in RNAcentral is "bacterial SSU rRNA". It matches the Rfam family "Bacterial small subunit ribosomal RNA". The record is from RNAcentral. Lineage: Bacteria; Pseudomonadati; Pseudomonadota; Gammaproteobacteria; Enterobacterales; Enterobacteriaceae.